This is a long non-coding RNA of Drosophila ficusphila, 258 nucleotides long. RefSeq lists it as uncharacterized. NCBI's taxonomy places the organism in Eukaryota, Metazoa, Arthropoda, Insecta, Diptera, Drosophilidae. The transcript is spliced from 4 exons. The record is from RefSeq and is a predicted model, not a curated record.
ACUUGGAGUGUACUUCAAGAUGCAGUGAAUCACAACCGGAAAAGGUUUGGUUGUGUAUUUAGCUGGUUGCAGAAAAUAAUUGGUGACACCAUCUUACAUGUAACUUGGAGCUGGUCUUUAGGAUGCAGUACACCAAGGUUAUUACGGAGUAAUGACUAUACCUUUCUACUUGGAGUGAACUUCAAGAUGCAUUGAAUCAAUAACCCAAUGAGGGUAAAGUGUAAAUGUUGCGGAUAAAGUGGUUGCAGUGAUUAUCUU